GGUCCAGCCUGCCCAGUGAUUUUAUUCAACGGCCGCGGUAUUCUAACCGUGCAAAGGUAGCGUAAUCACUUGUCUUCUAAAUAAAGACCAGUAUGAAAGGCAUCACGAAGACUCAGCUGUCUCCUUUCUCCAAUCAGUGAACCUAAUCUCCCCGUGAAGAAGCGGGGAUCUUAUUAUAAGACGAGAAGACCCUGUGGAGCUUAAAACAUAAUAACAACUGCCACUACUAUUAACCACCCAGAUGUCUCCCCCAGCGGCACUCUGAUUAUAUGUUUUUGGUUGGGGUGACCGCGGAGAAAAACUUAUCCUCCACAAUGAAAGGGACUUCCCACCUAAACAACAAGUUACAACUUUACGUAUCAAAAAAUUGACACUCAUUGACCCAAUAAAUUGAUUAAUGAACCAAGUUACCCCAGGGAUAACAGCACAAUCCACUUUAAGAGCCCCUAUCGACAAGUGGGCUUAUGACCUCGAUGUUGGAUCGGGAUGUCCCAGUGGUGCAGCCGCUACUAAGGGUUCGUUUGUUCAACGAUUAAAACCCCACGUGAUCUA
Molecule: ribosomal RNA, 552 nt
Filed under: Pristimantis platydactylus (flat-fingered robber frog)
Lineage: Eukaryota; Metazoa; Chordata; Amphibia; Anura; Strabomantidae
Description: partial 16S ribosomal RNA
Rfam family: Bacterial large subunit ribosomal RNA
Source: RNAcentral